AUUCCUACGGGAGGCAGCAGUAGGGAAUUUUCGGCAAUGGGGGAAACCCUGACCGAGCAACGCCGCGUGAGUGAAGAAGGCCUUCGGGUUGUAAAGCUCUGUUGUAAGGGAAGAAGAGAUCAUAGAGGGAAUGCUAUGAUUGUGACGGAACCUUACCAGAAAGCCACGGCUAACUACGUGCCAGCAGCCGCGGUAAUACGUAGGUGGCGAGCGUUAUCCGGAAUUAUUGGGCGUAAAGGGUGCGUAGGCGGCACAUUAAGUCUAAGGUUAAAGUUCGAGGCUCAACUUCGGAUUGCCUUAGAAACUGGUGAGCUAGAGUGCAGGAGAGGGCAAUGGAAUUCCAUGUGUAGCGGUAAAAUGCGUAGAUAUAUGGAGGAACACCAGUGGCGAAGGCGGUUGCCUGGCCUGUAACUGACGCUGAGGCACGAAAGCGUGGGGAGCAAAUAGGAUUAGAUACACUAGUAGUCCACGCUGUAAACGAUGAUUACUAAGUGUUGGAGAAAUUCAGUGCUGCAGUUAACGCAAUAAGUAAUCCGCCUGGGGAGUAUGCACGCAAGUGUGAAACUCAAAGGAAUUGACGGAAU
Molecule: ribosomal RNA, 584 nt
Filed under: uncultured bacterium
Lineage: Bacteria
Description: bacterial SSU rRNA
Rfam family: Bacterial small subunit ribosomal RNA
Source: RNAcentral